AACGAACGCUGGCGGCAUGCCUAACACAUGCAAGUCGAACGAGACCUUCGGGUCUAUUGGCGCACGGGUGCGUAACGCGUGGGAAUCUGCCCUUGGGUUCGGAAUAACAGUUGGAAACGACUGCUAAUACCGGAUGAUGACGUAAGUCCCAAGAUUUAUCGCCCAAGGAUGAGCCCGCGUAGGAUUAGCUAGUUGGUGAGGUAAAGGCUCACCAAGGCGACGAUCCUUAGCUGGUCUGAGAGGAUGAUCAGCCACACUGGGACUGAGACACGGCCCAGACUCCUACGGGAGGCAGCAGUGGGGAAUAUUGGACAAUGGGCGAAAGCAUGAUCCAGCAAUGCCGCGUGAGUGAUGAAGGCCUUAGGGUUGUAAAGCUCUUUUACCCGGGAUGAUAAUGACAUUACCGGGAGAAUAAGCUCCGGCUAACUCCGUG
RNAcentral lists this ribosomal RNA (433 nucleotides) under uncultured bacterium. RNAcentral describes it as "partial 16S ribosomal RNA". It matches the Rfam family "Bacterial small subunit ribosomal RNA", at positions 29 to 507 of the family's 1533-position model. The record is from RNAcentral.